This 460-nucleotide ribosomal RNA is filed under the name uncultured bacterium. RNAcentral's name for it is "partial 16S ribosomal RNA". It matches the Rfam family "Bacterial small subunit ribosomal RNA", at positions 338 to 795 of the family's 1533-position model. The record is from RNAcentral.
CCUACGGGCGACAGCAGUGAGGAAUAUUGGUCAAUGGACGAGAGUCUGAACCAGCCAAGUAGCGUGAAGGAUGACUGCCCUAUGGGUUGUAAACUUCUUUUAUCUGGGAAUAAAAUGUUCCACGUGUGGGAUUUUGUAUGUACCCUAUGAAUAAGGAUCGGCUAACUCCGGGCCAGCAGCCGCGGUAAUACGGAGGAUCCGAGCGUUAUCCGGAUUUUUUGGGUUUAAAGGGAGCGUAGGGGGAUUGUUAAGUCAGUUGUGAAAGUUUGCGGCUCAACCGUAAAAUUGCAGUUGAAACUGGCAGUCUUGAGUACAGUAGAGGUGGGCGGAAUUCGUGGUGUAGCGGUGAAAUGCUUAGAUAUCACGAAGAACUCCGAUUGCGAAGGCAGCUCACUGGACUGCAACUGACACUGAGGCUCGAAAGUGUGGGUAUCAAACAGGAUUAGAUACCCCAGUAGUC